Molecule: non-coding RNA, 893 nt
Organism: Chrysemys picta bellii (western painted turtle)
Lineage: Eukaryota; Metazoa; Chordata; Testudines; Emydidae
Source: RefSeq, a predicted model, not a curated record
AGGAGGGCGGAGGCUGAGGCGCGUCGCGGUGGCUGCAGCUCCCCUAUAAAGCCCGGAGCCCGGUCUCUCCUCAAGCCCGGCGACAGCAGCAGCGGGACCAGGAGCGGACUGGACAUGGGGACGGGGCUGGCGGCGCGGUUCGGGCUGGGGCUCCUGCUCCUGGCGCUUCUCUUUCCCCCCCAGUUGGGAGUUUGACUUUCUUUAUGUGGGAUCCUAGAAAGGAAAACGCCAGUCCGAGAGUAGCAAUCCCCAGGGCAGACAAAGGGGCCACGGUUCCUACACUGAAAUCGACACAACUAAACUCCCAUUGCCAGAUGAUCGGGGCGAUCCUGAUCCAAAGCCCCUGGAAAUCAAUGGGAGACACGCUUCUGAUUUCGGUCAGAUCUGGGGAUGACUGAAAGGGCGGACUUUCCGAUGUCCCUGAAAGCACGUUAUUUAAAGCCCACUAGCCAGAUGGUUACUCGCAGAACGGUGAUCACGCCCGUAGAGUUUUACCUGGCAACAGCCUUGAAAGGACGUGUUGUCAAGCAUUCACCUAGCCCUGCAUUCCCCGAGUCCUCAUCGAGAUCGUGCAAUAAGGUCUCCGGCUGGGCAGUGCCAUCUCUCGAUGAGAGACCAUUGAGUCAUGAAGCCAGUAAAAUAAAAGCUCGUUUGAACAUGUUUCUGCUAUAAAUAAAGAAAGUUCUUAUCCUACUCCCUCUGAAUUGAGUAGGAGUCUUGCCCUUGAUUUCAAAGGGAGCAGGAUCAAACCCCAGACUUACUGUGACCUAAAUGGAACCAACCCAACACCCUCCAGCAAUAAUUCUACAGCAAGUUCCACUUCUAUACUAGCUGUCACAAAUUCACUGAACAAUACCACCAUGAGGGGACAUGGAAAUUCCCUGCAUUCAACC